This 157-nucleotide ribosomal RNA is filed under the name Fusarium equiseti. RNAcentral's name for it is "5.8S ribosomal RNA". It matches the Rfam family "5.8S ribosomal RNA". From Rfam's summary of the family: 5.8S ribosomal RNA (5.8S rRNA) is a component of the large subunit of the eukaryotic ribosome. It is transcribed by RNA polymerase I as part of the 45S precursor that also contains 18S and 28S rRNA. Functionally, it is thought that 5.8S rRNA may be involved in ribosome translocation. Lineage: Eukaryota; Fungi; Ascomycota; Sordariomycetes; Hypocreales; Nectriaceae. The record is from RNAcentral.
AACUUUCAACGACGGAUCUCUUGGUUCUGGCAUCGAUGAAGAACGCAGCAAAAUGCGAUAAGUAAUGUGAAUUGCAGAAUUCAGUGAAUCAUCGAAUCUUUGAACGCACAUUGCGCCCGCCAGUAUUCUGGCGGGCAUGCCUGUUCGAGCGUCAUUU